Molecule: long non-coding RNA, 996 nt
Organism: Solenopsis invicta (red fire ant)
Lineage: Eukaryota; Metazoa; Arthropoda; Insecta; Hymenoptera; Formicidae
Exons: 2
Source: RefSeq, a predicted model, not a curated record
AAUACGAGUAUACGUUUGUUUCAGCAAUCUUAUUAAAUUCUAUAACAUUGAUCGUAAUAUAACAUUUAUACUGAAAAGUGGUGUAUUAUCUGCAGCAUGAUACCAUGAUCCAUUAAGAAGCUUUACGUAAAGAAAGAAAAAGAAAUUAUGUCUUAGAGAAAAAGGUAAAUCUACUUAACAUUACAUAAUCAAAAAAUGUAAAACAAUUUGAAAUUUUGGAAGUCCAUUGGUGACGGCAAUUUCCUUAGAGGAUGUUAAAUCCGUUAAAAUAGAGCGUCUCAGUAAGUACUUCGAAACAUAAAAAAAUUGUUAUGUUUUAUUGAAGUCAUAUGAUAUAUUAAUAUCGCAAUUCAAUGACAUAUUUUUUUUUUAUUUACAGUGCUAGAAAGUAUGUAGACGAUGUGACAUAAUCUCAAAUUUAAAUUAAGUAGCAAAAGUGCAAUCAAAAUUUUCAAACGUCAAAGUAAUUCACAAUAUAACGUAACAUUUUGUUCCGAUGCGUUCAAAAUUCUUCACUACAUUCAAAGAUACUCUGCAGAAAUUUUAUCUAAAAUUAGCGAAAAAGUUUGUUUCAAACAUCUCUUAUACCUUUAUUUAUAAUAUUCAAUUAUCUAUUAAUAUAUAAAAAAUACUUUACCGAUAGCAAGCAUACAUGCAGGAUUUGAGCAAAAAUUAAUUAAUUCAGAAGUUGAUGUGUUUGCUGAAGCUGAAACAUCUUUAAAUAUAAAAAUUUUUAUCACUCUAAUUUAUUAAUAGUUAAUGGUUUUGCAAAUAAGAUUGUUAUAUCCAAUAUAAACAAUUCUGAUAUUAGAGACAUUAUUGUUUGCUAGGAACGGAUUACAUAAAAUUAUAGACAAAGAAGAUCUACCAAAGUAUUAUGGCAUGUAUUGGAAAAAUCUUUCACUAUUUGAAGUAGUACCUAGACAUAUAUCUCUUCUUUCUAAAUAUUAUAAAAAAAAAUUAUUACAUAAAGACUCCAUAGAAAAGACGUAUGAA